UGGACGAAAGUCUGACGGAGCAACGCCGCGUGAGUGAUGAAGGCUUUCGGGUCGUAAAACUCUGUUGUUAGGGAAGAACAAGUGCUAGUUGAAUAAGCUGGCACCUUGACGGUACCUAACCAGAAAGCCACGGCUAACUACGUGCCAGCAGCCGCGGUAAUACGUAGGUGGCAAGCGUUAUCCGGAAUUAUUGGGCGUAAAGCGCGCGCAGGUGGUUUCUUAAGUCUGAUGUGAAAGCCCACGGCUCAACCGUGGAGGGUCAUUGGAAACUGGGAGACUUGAGUGCAGAAGAGGAAAGUGGAAUUCCAUGUGUAGCGGUGAAAUGCGUAGAGAUAUGGAGGAACACCAGUGGCGAAGGCGACUUUCUGGUCUGUAACUGACACUGAGGCGCGAAAGCGUGGGGAGCAAACAGGAUUAGAUACCCUGGUAGUCCACGCCGUAAACGAUGAGUGCUAAGUGUUAGAGGGUUUCCGCCCUUUAGUGCUGAAGUUAACGCAUUAAGCACUCCGCCUGGGGAGUACGGCCGCAAGGCUG
RNAcentral lists this ribosomal RNA (534 nucleotides) under Bacillus sp. CR35. Its description in RNAcentral is "bacterial SSU rRNA". It matches the Rfam family "Bacterial small subunit ribosomal RNA", at positions 372 to 896 of the family's 1533-position model. Lineage: Bacteria; Bacillati; Bacillota; Bacilli; Caryophanales; Bacillaceae. The record is from RNAcentral.